Molecule: ribosomal RNA, 494 nt
Filed under: uncultured bacterium
Lineage: Bacteria
Description: partial 16S ribosomal RNA
Rfam family: Bacterial small subunit ribosomal RNA
Source: RNAcentral
GACGAACGCUGGCGGCGUGCUUAACACAUGCAAGUCGAACGGUGAAGCGCCUUCCUUUUUGGUGGGUGUGGAUGAGUGGCGAACGGGUGAGUAACACGUGAGUAACCUGCCCCCUUCUUCUGGAUAACCGCAUGAAAGUGUGGCUAAUACGGGAUAUUCUGGGUCUGUCGCAUGAUGGGUCUGGGAAAGAUAUUGUUUCGGUGGGGGAUGGGCUCGCGGCCUAUCAGCUUGUUGGUGGGGUGAUGGCCUACCAAGGCGGUGACGGGUAGCCGGCCUGAGAGGGUGGACGGUCACACUGGGACUGAGACACGGCCCAGACUCCUACGGGAGGCAGCAGUGGGGAAUAUUGCACAAUGGGCUCAAGCCUGAUGCAGCGACGCCGCGUGAGGGAUGGAGGCCUUCGGGUUGUGAACCUCUUUCGCCAGUGAAGCAGGCCUGCCUCGUUUGUGGGUGGGUUGACGGUAGCUGGAUAAGAAGCGCCGGCUAACUACGUG